GUAACGGCGAGUGAAGCGGCAACAGCUCAAAUUUGAAAUCUGGCCUUCCGGUCCGAGUUGUAAUUUGCAGAGGAUGCUUCGGGCGCGGUGCCUUCCAAGUCCCCUGGAACGGGGCGCCGGAGAGGGUGAGAGCCCCGUACGGUUGGCGGCCAAGCCUGUGUGAAGCUCCUUCGACGAGUCGAGUAGUUUGGGAAUGCUGCUCUAAGCGGGAGGUAGACCCCUUCUAAAGCUAAAUACCGGCCAGAGACCGAUAGCGCACAAGUAGAGUGAUCGAAAGAUGAAAAGCACUUUGAAAAGAGGGUUAAACAGCACGUGAAAUUGUUGAAAGGGAAGCGCUUGCGACCAGACGUGCGCCGGGGUGCUCAGCGGGCGUUCUCGCCCGUGCACUCGCCCCGGCGCAGGCCAGCGUCGGUUUGGGCGGGGGGAUAAAGGCGUCUGGAAUGUGGCUCCCCCGGGAGUGUUAUAGCCAGGCGUGCCAUGCCUCCGCCCGGACCGAGGUACGCGUUCUGCAAGGACGCUGGCGUAAUGGUCCCCAGCGACCCGUCUUGAAACACGGACCAAGGAGUCGAGGUUUUGCGCGA
Molecule: ribosomal RNA, 581 nt
Filed under: Chloridium chlamydosporum
Lineage: Eukaryota; Fungi; Ascomycota; Sordariomycetes; Chaetosphaeriales; Chaetosphaeriaceae
Description: partial large subunit ribosomal RNA
Rfam family: Eukaryotic large subunit ribosomal RNA
Source: RNAcentral